This 253-nucleotide ribosomal RNA is filed under the name uncultured bacterium. Its description in RNAcentral is "partial 16S ribosomal RNA". It matches the Rfam family "Bacterial small subunit ribosomal RNA", at positions 524 to 776 of the family's 1533-position model. The record is from RNAcentral.
UACGGAGGGAGCUAGCGUUGUUCGGAAUUACUGGGCGUAAAGCGCACGUAGGCGGCUUUGUAAGUUAGAGGUGAAAGCCUGGGGCUCAACCCCAGAAUUGCCUUUAAGACUGCAUCGCUUGAAUCCAGGAGAGGUGAGUGGAAUUCCGAGUGUAGAGGUGAAAUGCGCAGAUAUCGGGAAGAACACCCGUGGCGAAGGCGGCACUCUGGGACGGUACUGACGCUGAGACGCGAAAGCGUGAGGAGCGAACAGG